This 1947-nucleotide long non-coding RNA is filed under the name Pan troglodytes (chimpanzee). RNAcentral's name for it is "long non-coding RNA NONPTRT014083". The stretch from base 528 to 658 matches the Rfam family "Prostate androgen-regulated transcript 1 conserved region 3". Lineage: Eukaryota; Metazoa; Chordata; Mammalia; Primates; Hominidae. The record is from RNAcentral.
AAAGGUUAGGUAUAGUGGAUUAAAGAGUUCUUUUUUCGAAUGGGCGCGGUGGCUCACGCCUGUAAUCCCAGCAUUUUGGGAGGCUGCGGUGGGUGGAUCAUCUGAGGUCAGGAGUUCGAGACCAGCCUGAUUAACAUGGUGAAAGCCUGUCUCUACUGAAAAAUGCAAAAAUUAGCCGGGCGUGGUGGUGCACGCCUGUAAUCCCAGCCACUCGGGAGGCUGAGGCGGGAGAAUUGCCUGAACCCGGGAGGCAGAGGUUGCAGUGAGCUGAGAUUGUGCCAUUGCACUCCAGGCUGGGCAACAAGAGUGAAACUCCAUCACAGAAAAAAAAAAAAAAAAAAAAAAAAAGAGUUCUUUUUUCCAGCUGAAGAUAGUCAAGCGGGUUAUUUUCUACUGUCUUCCUCGGAAAGGGACGGGUAAAUUGAAGCAAAAAGCAGACAAGUUCUAUGGGAUUUGCUGGCAUGGAUUUCCCAGGGUGGCAAAGUGCUAAGAACUAAACCUUUAAAGCUAACAAAAUGUACUGAUGUCUUUGCAAAGUAUCCAAGACCAACAAGAAAGUAAUUUCCCACCUCACCCUACCACCACCCAGAAAAGGAGCACAGAGAUGGGCAAGAGAGUGGCUGCAUCUGGCAUCCAGCCAGAGGAGUCCGUGCAGGGAUUCUGGAUCCCUCUUCCCCCACCCCACUGCCCUUCCCCCUCCACCCCAGCAUUUUGGAGAAGCAAGAAACUGUAAUGAUGCAGCUCCCUCAAGUGUCACAUGAACAUACUGGAAAGAGCCUCCUGAGGUAAAUAUGCCAUGCAGACAGAAACAAGCAAUGGCUCAACAGCAAUGUAUGAGGUCCAAGGACCAGGACCAAAGGGAAAAACAGCCAUCUCACCAGACACCUGCCUACUACCAGAUGCGUCAUCUCCAAUAUUAGCUAACUCCCUGGAACCUGGACUCAAGGUGUGAAAUAAAGGUUAAUGGGAAACCGCAGGAGUCAAAAGGAGGGGGCAGGAUUAUUGAGGAUUCAGGCUGUUGAGAAAUGAAAGUUUGGAUCACUCCCCAGAUAAAGAACCUUGACCAUUUAAGGGCAAUGGAAAUAUAGAAUAGGCAGUAGAAGAAGGAAGCCAUAGAUACCAACUAUGGCCUCUCAAUCAAUUACAAAACUGAGAAUUCUGACAGUUUUGUGUAUUUCCUCUUUGCAUGUGAUGUAUAUGUGUGUAUUUGUAUAUAUUAACCAUUUUCCUUUUUCUCUCCUCAUUAUUUUAUGAAAGCUGUUGAAUAUAAACUCUACAAUUUAGCCUUUAGGUAAGAGAAUAUUCAGUGGGACUUUGAUUUGAGGAGUAUUUAAGACAGCCAGAUGAGACUACGAUAACUGUUGGAACUGUGUGUCUCCUCAUUUGGGGAAAGGGGUGAGAACUCUGCAUUUCUCUGAAGAACAGAGUUGACUUUGUGUUAUACAGAGUUCAAAUAUAUAUAUAAAAUGAUGCAUGUGGAAGCUAAGAAGCCAAAGGAGUUCACCAAGACAGUUAUCGAUAUAUUGCCUCUCCGCUCCAAAUCCACCCUUCUUUGCCCUGUUCCAUGAUACUAAUCUGGCUCCUCGGUCAGCCAGUGCAAUGUCAUCUGUUGCUGGUAGAGUGUAGGGGAGACACUACAAGGUAUAGUAAAGGGGUCAGAUGCGGUGUCUCAUGCCUGUAAUCACAGCCCUUUGGGAGGCAGAGGCAGGAGGAUCACCUGAGGCCAGGAGUUUGAGACCAGCCUGGACAACAUGGUAAAACCCCAUCUCUACUGAAAAUACAAAAUUAGCACGCACCUGUAAUCCCAGCUACUCGGGAGGCUGAGGCAGGAGAAUCACUUGAACCUGGGAGGUGGAGGUUGCAGUGAGCCAAGAUCGCAUCAUUGCACUCCAGCCAGGGAAAAAAGGCAAAACUCUGUCUCAAAAAAAUAAAUAAAUAAAAUAAAAU